UACAGAGGUCCCGAGCGUUGUUCGGAUUCAUUGGGCGUAAAGGGUGCGUAGGCGGCGGGGCAAGUCUGAUGUGAAAUCCCGGGGCUCAACCCCGGAACUGCAUUGGAUACUGCCUUGCUUGAGUACUGGAGAGGAGACUGGAAUUUACGGUGUAGCAGUGAAAUGCGUAGAUAUCUGGAGGAACACCGGUGGCGAAGGCGGCAUCCCUGGACCGAUACUGACCGCUGAGGAGCGA
This 235-nucleotide ribosomal RNA is filed under the name uncultured bacterium. Its description in RNAcentral is "partial 16S ribosomal RNA". It matches the Rfam family "Bacterial small subunit ribosomal RNA", at positions 524 to 756 of the family's 1533-position model. The record is from RNAcentral.